UCGAAGGCAUGAACGUUCGAAGGGAGAGUACUUUCCCCAAUAGGGGAAAAUACUCUCCCUUCGAAUGUUCAUGCCUUCGA
RNAcentral lists this microRNA precursor (80 nucleotides) under Phlebotomus papatasi. RNAcentral describes it as "microRNA mir-515". The record is from RNAcentral. Lineage: Eukaryota; Metazoa; Arthropoda; Insecta; Diptera; Psychodidae.